GGUCUAUAUCCUGUCCACGAAUUGCAGAACGUCAUACCCAAUCUUACUGAAAAAAAGAUUAUGCGUCACAUUCACAAAUAAACACAGUUAUCAAGGGAGCACAAAAGAUGUGAGCAUUGAGCAGUUUUCUCUCCCUGCAAAAGCCUAUUUCCUGACCACGAACGAAAGGGAGGCAGGAGUCUCGCCGCCAUGGCUGCUGGACACUACGGCAAUGCGCCACUCAGCCCGGAACAGCGGGCACUCCCGGCACCAGCGCCACCUACAGGCCCUGCGCACCUCUACACGUCACGUUAAUUCCACACCGUGGCAAAGAGCAGAGGCACCUGCGCCAGUCAGAGGGACAGGAGACAGGGGAAAGCGAUCCAGAAGGAGGGUGGGUUUGUGCUCAUUGUGUACGGCGAUUGAGAAAAUCUGUUUGAAUGAGUUCUGCCUGGACUCCAGAGGAGAAAACCUGCACUGAGUUGUAACUACUAAAGAUGUAAACACUCGUCACAUACCGAGCAGUUUAACAGCUUAUGAAAAUGCUGAUCAUGUAGAUAAAUAACGUGGGCUGACCUUGAACAGCAAUCAGUGAUACUAGUAUACUCAUGUUUAAAUAAAAUACAAUUUUUCAGGAGUUAUGCAUGUGUAAAAUGUGUCCCAAUGCACAGGAGUUAAAUUCACAUUACGUGAGUGAAAGGUAUGAAUGUAUUUGAAAAGCUCCACUACUUAAAAUAUUAUUUUAUAUUUUACUUUUUUUAAAAUGUUGUCCCCUGUUAGGUCCCAGUUAGGAGACAAAAUGUUUUCAUUAGUCACUGUAUGUGUGCACAAAUUUCUUUGAACCCCUGGGAAAUUUAGAACAGCUAUUUUUAUUUUAUCCAUGUAAAAAUCACACACAGAGCAGCCAGUUCACAGGAGAGAACUGUUUAGGACCCCCCAAAUACUCAUCACUAUUGCUUUGCAUUUUUUAAAAUCAUAAUGCAUCACUAACAAUGGAGGCAAUAACCAUGUUUACAAUACAAGAGCUAUAACAAUCAUUGAAAAGAUCGCAGCCUUGGGGCACUGUAAUAAAGGCCCUUGGCAUGUUGUUAGCAUGCUGCUCUCAAAACAGAGCUCAUCCACCAGCCUGAUAUUGAGGUGUUUUCACUGCAAGCACACUGCAAGAGACUUUGCCUCUGAGCAUUGCAAGGUCCCUGUGCUCAUUCCAACAGCCCAACCCUGCUGCGAAUGCAUUCACCACGGGGAGCAUUGACCCACCUGGGGAGUGUGCAUUACACCUGGCAGAGCCACCCUGCAUUGAGGUCUCCUGAAAUGGCCAGCAUGGGGUCUCUUUCAUUAGCUCUCCUCCAGUACUGCCAGACAACUCCUGGACGACUCUGUCGGGACAUUAAGGAUUUAUGAGAGCUCUGUAAUAAAAAGACGAGAAAGUCAGAAACUGUUCAGAAACUCUUGUAUCAGGUUUCUUCUCUCUUGUCUUUCCUUGCCUGCAGAUUGCAGUUCAGAGCUUAGCGGGGGAGCGCAGGGAGCUUACGCAGGGCUCAGCAGCUACAGGAGAACCAUUGGAUUAAAUAUGUAAGACAGAAAGCAUUUCAUUUGAUCACUUUUCCCUACAUAUCAGGCUGGAGAUGUGCGAGCAGGCCUGCUCUGCUCAGCAGAGGUGGCCCGGCACUGAACUGCAUGCUGGGAGCUGAAAGAUUCAACGCAACCCCAAAGUUCCCGGGCCAGACAGUGAACUCAAGGUCAGCUGUUGAGAAUGCAGCUCAAGUCUGGGAUUGCAUUCUUUCCCUCUGCUGUGUUUCAAUGAAUAAAUCCACAAGCGUGGUGCUGAAUGCCAAACGCUCCAAUGGAGCUGAGAGCGGGAAAACGCUGUGGCUGCAGGACAGUCCCAUUCGCGGUUACUGGGGAUCUGGCCCAGCUCUGAUUGGUUAAGCUGCUGGUCAGGCUCUGAAACCAGUAAUCCCAGGGGGAGGGUGGGGUGCAGGACUGUGGGCAGGAUGUGCAGUAGGGGAACCCCAGGCCCUGCCUGGGCUGCACCCAGAGCUCACCACUGGCAGAACAAAAAUACCUCAAGGAAAUCCACAGCACGGAGAGAGAGGACUUACCACUGAGCCAGCAAAAAAGCAAAGAAGCCUUUCAGCUUCUCUCGCCUCAAAUGACAACCACCAGUCAGGUUUUAUAUUUCCAUGGGAAGCAGAGUUGCUUAUGACAUGAGAGGACAGGGCCUAUGCCCAAAACAUGUGCCAGGUGCUAUGGGACUGCUCCCAUACAGGUUAUAGGGUAUUUGGUUUCUAUACAGACAUAACAUGUGUCCACCUUGUAACACAUUUCAGUAUGAGGCAAAGUGCUGCUGUUUACAAUUAUGUAUUCCUGUACUGUCCAGCUUGUAUUAAUGUAUAAAAGCUAUGAAAUGAA
Molecule: long non-coding RNA, 2391 nt
Organism: Conger conger (European conger)
Lineage: Eukaryota; Metazoa; Chordata; Actinopteri; Anguilliformes; Congridae
Exons: 2
Source: RefSeq, a predicted model, not a curated record